Molecule: ribosomal RNA, 501 nt
Filed under: uncultured bacterium
Lineage: Bacteria
Description: bacterial SSU rRNA
Rfam family: Bacterial small subunit ribosomal RNA
Source: RNAcentral
AUUGAACGCUGGCGGCGUGCCUAACACAUGCAAGUCGAGCGGUAACAGGUGUAGCAAUACAUGCUGACGAGCGGCGGACGGGUGAGUAACGCUUGGGAAUCUGCCUAUUAGUGGGGGACAACCCGGGGAAACUCGGGCUAAUACCGCAUACGCACUACGGUGGAAAGCCGGGGACCGCAAGGCCUGGCGCUAACAGAUGAGCCCAAGUCGGAUUAGCUAGUUGGUAGGGUAACGGCCACCAAGGCGACGAUCCGUAACUGGUCUGAGAGGACGACCAGUCACACCGGAACUGAGACACGGUCCGGACUCCUACGGGAGGCAGCAGUGGGGAAUAUUGGACAAUGGGCGAAAGCCUGAUCCAGCGACGCCGCGUGGGUGAAGAAGGCCUGCGGGUUGUAAAGCCCUUUCAGUGGGAAGAAAAGCCUCGAGCUAACACCUCGGGGUCUUGACGUAACCCAUAGAAGAAGCACCGGCUAACUCUGUGCCAGCCGCCGCCGUAAC